GCUCUAUCUCCUUGCACUUGUACGGUUUGUUCAUGCUGGGCGCGAUAUUCCAGCUGACGACAGGUGCGGGUAUCUGUGAAAACGAUACAGAGAUCGUCAACGUUCGUUGCAAUUUGUUACAAAAAUAUUUUUAUAACCGGAUGUUUGAAUUUAUUAGUAUUUCGAGAUGAAAAGAGUAGAUAUGUUUUAAGUAAACAGAGACUGUAACGUGAUUUCAUUGUGGGAGCUGUGUGCCAACGUUUCGAGUGGAUUUGAUCGACGUCCCGUUGGUGAUUAGACGCGGCUGCGAUAUUGAGUUUCGCAGUUGGACUGGUGUAACUUUGGAGAGUCCUGUAGUGUUGAGAAUGUCGUGCGGGAGAGUUUGUCGGCGAUGAGGAACAACUCGGUGGUCCUAUGGCUGAUUCAGGUCUCGUAUCGAGUCGAACGCUUUCUUCCGAGACGUUCACGUCCUUCAGGUCUUUCGGGGAUUCUUGAAAGAAAUCGAUUUUUAUUUACCUUCAACGCGUUGCUUCGUAGAAUACAGGAAAAACCAAGAUACCUUCGGAAGAAUUUCUUAUUUCUGAUAUUUCACUACUUCAUAUAAAAGACUAAAAAUGUAGCACGAUUUAUACUGACAUAAUCUUUAAGUAGAAUUUUUAAAUGGUUUUACGUAUGAACGUUUUAUAGAAGAAAUAACAUAGAAACGUAUAUGACAAAGUUAUAUGAAAGCAGCAAAUAAAUGUUCAUUAAAAAACACAGUGAUGAAGAUGGUAAGUUACGUAUUUUCUGCCAUUCUACUUUUAAUAUUAAAACAGGACUAAUUUUUGUCUCUCAUUUUCUUUACUUCUUCCUCUUGUUUAAAACGAGUCAUACGCGUUCUACGUUAUUUAGGUCAGAAUACCAUUUAACGUAGCAUUAAAAAAAAAAGAGAUUGUAAAUAAGGGAAAACCAUAAAUUACCCAACCUAUGUAAAAAUAUCUAAAAGUUUCCACGUGAAAACAUUUUCUAUAAAUAUAUUUACUUGCCAUUAUAAAACAAGUAACGUAUACCUUGCAAUAGUUUUGCAAUGAGGCUUUUGUACGAUGUUGUGUACCUUCAAAAUUGAAGAAAGGUAAUAAAGUAAAUUACUCGAUUCAAGUUUCAAUGGCCACGUGCGUUGCGAAGGGGGAAAAUUUUAUCUGCGUUCCUCGAAAGCAAGAAGCGAAGGAUUUCGUGUUAUAAAACUCACCGGAAGUGGCCACUAUCGCGUACGUAGAUUUAUAUUGUGGGCUGACAAGGGGUGAAUUGAAUUGUUCCAUUGUCAAAGACUCGUGCAUGCUUCCGUCCUCUGGCAUGUCCGGCGAUACGUGAUUGGCAGUCUCUGUCAGCAUUCCACCGGGAGUUAAAUUUAGUAGGAGUCCCUGUAAACCGUUCGAAUUGUUUGUAUCGAUCGAAAGUAUACAGAAAAGCCUGCCAUAUUAGCCAAAUAUAAUUUCUACAUCGCGUACAGUUAUAUUCGUUAAUGGAGUACUUUUCUAUUUCUCGUUUCGAACGAAACCCGCUCGUGUUGACUGGUAUAUACUACAGAUGACAAAGUUUGGAGACUUUUAAUGACAAAUUAAAAUCCGUCUUAUCGUUCUGGAAAA
Long non-coding RNA from Bombus terrestris (buff-tailed bumblebee), 1604 nucleotides. RefSeq lists it as uncharacterized. The transcript is spliced from 2 exons. NCBI's taxonomy places the organism in Eukaryota, Metazoa, Arthropoda, Insecta, Hymenoptera, Apidae. The record is from RefSeq and is a predicted model, not a curated record.